RNAcentral lists this long non-coding RNA (646 nucleotides) under Homo sapiens (human). Its description in RNAcentral is "HSALNT0374836". Lineage: Eukaryota; Metazoa; Chordata; Mammalia; Primates; Hominidae. The record is from RNAcentral.
GUUGUUCCCUCUGUCAGUGAAUAGAGCUGACCUGUGUAACCAGUGUGGUAUUGCAGAAGGGACAAAGUGUGACUUCUGGGACUAGGUCAUAAAAGACAGUGGUGUUUUCAUGUGUCAGUGCUCUCUGUUGGAUCACUUGCUCUGGGGAAAGCCAGCUGCCAUCAGGUGGGGACACUAGAGGAGCCCCAGGGAGCUCCCAUAUGGCAAGGAACUGAGACCUGCUGCCAACACCCAGGACCAAUUUGCCAUCCAUGAGAGUGGGCCGUCUCGAAAGUGGGAGAAUGUGGUCAGUGUUUCAGCCAGUGCUUGCUGCUGAGGCAGGAGAGAAUAAUUGUGUAAAGAGGGGGCUCCCGCAGUGCAGGACAGGAAGCCACCAUGUGAGCACCACAUCCACGUGCAGGUCGCAGGCUUCAUCAUGUCCUGAAUACCAUGCCUUAGCAUUUUAUAUUUCAGGUUUCUACUUCUACAUCUCCAGCCCUGAAUACUCAUGGAAUAUCGCUGUACCUAUGACAGGGCUCACAAGAGACCACACUCAAGGAGUGAUGAACAAAUUUUAAUUGGUAACAUAAUUCUAGUAAUACUAAGUGUUGAGGAGUUUCUGACUGAAUCCCUACUUCUCUGAUGUUGAAGGUGUUGUAAGGCAAAG